ACUCAGAAGGCCGGAAGAAGGCUUCUGAGGAAGCUUUGCUGGUUGCUGGCAACUUGGGGGCUGUGCUCAGGGCUGGAGUCAUUGGCAGGGGGAGCACUGUGGCACGAACUCUGUUGGUCUGCAACUGCCCAGCCUGUGAGGAGAGCAAGCAAAGGCUUCUCUGAAGAUCAGACAGAUGCUGAGGUCCUUUCCUAUUCCCCCUUGAGCCUCCUGUCCCUCACAUGUUCCCUUUCUAGAGUGAAAAACUCAAGGCCCAUGGAUAUGACUGUGGAGUCUCCAUGGCCUGCAGCCUCUACAGUGUCAUCUCCUUGCCCAGUGUCCCUUCUCUGUCAGCUUGCCCACAAUCUAACUCAUGGAGGGCUCUGUUCCCACACAUCUGGUCAAUUACUUCCCACUCUAGACUGGAGUUGGGAAACAUCCUUCUCCUGUAAUUUUAGCUAAGACAAAAUGGGAAUUUUUCUAAAAGAUCUGUUACUGAGAAACUUGGAAAAAAUUCAUAAGGGCAAAGGGCAGCCCAAAUAUUACAGAGCAUGGGUCUUAAAAAAUAUUUCUCCUUCAAUUUCUUAUUUCAACCCUUGUCACCAGGGCCCUGUCUCCAAGUUACCAAGAUUGAUUAGCUUCCCUUUUCUCAUCUGUACAUCCAGGAUAUGCCAGAGUGAAACACAAGUUAAGAAAUGCUCUUUAAUUUGAAGUUGGUGGUACCCCAAGUGGAUUAUUCAAUGGUGGGCUGAGCAACUGUCUCACAGCAAGAGAUCUGGCUUGUAAUCCAGUCUGAGAGAAAUUUGUGUCCUCUGUGGAGCAGGCAGCUGAUGCCAAAACAUGCAGGGGCCUUUUGUCAGAUCACAUCACCCUAGAGGAAGCCUAAUUUCCCCUGACCUCAUUCCAACUGUGCCUGAACAUCUGGGCUCCAAGGAAGAUGUCCCCAGUACACCAACUGACUGAAGUCUUGGUCUAAGUUCUAUAUGUACCUUAAGAUUUGAAGAUUCUGAAACAUGAUUACAGAUGGAUAUGAACAUUCUGACUCUGACUCUGGUGUUGAAAGCCUUGGAAAAAGGGUGUGGGGGAAGCCACAGAAAUUUUAAUUAGCAUUAUAGGCAGAUGUCAUGUAACAGUGGAGGAAAGACUGGUUGUAGUAGGGCCCCCACCCUCCUAAUGAGAAAAGUGAACCUCUAGCUCCUUUAUUCAGAGUUGUCUAGCAUGGGGCAGGUUAGUGAUGGAUAAAGGCUCAGGGCCUGGAGGCAGACAGAUGUGCAUUUUGAUUCUCUGGGCUGCAAGUGGUCAGAUGUAUGAAAUACAGAUUUUGAUCCUAAGGGUAAAGAAUGGGCACUGGAAUUGUCUAGCUUCAAAUGGUGGCUCUGCUAUUAAUUUUUCUAUACACCCAUGGAAAAGUAUUUAAUUUCUUUGUCUCAGCUUUCUCAUGUAUAAAACAGGUAUAAUAUUGUACUUAAUUGAUUUGAAGACAUAUUUCCCCCCUCACACUACUCUAUAUCUGUCUUACAAUUGCCAUUGGCCAGACAGACAUUCUUAGCACUUACUACUCUAAUCUAAAAGAACUCUCUCAAUAAAGAUAAAAUAAUACUUCUAAGUAACAAGGAAA
This is a non-coding RNA of Marmota flaviventris (yellow-bellied marmot), 1597 nucleotides long. NCBI's taxonomy places the organism in Eukaryota, Metazoa, Chordata, Mammalia, Rodentia, Sciuridae. The record is from RefSeq and is a predicted model, not a curated record.